This 253-nucleotide ribosomal RNA is filed under the name uncultured bacterium. Its description in RNAcentral is "partial 16S ribosomal RNA". It matches the Rfam family "Bacterial small subunit ribosomal RNA", at positions 524 to 776 of the family's 1533-position model. The record is from RNAcentral.
UACGGAGGGUGCGGGCGUUGUCCGGAAUCACUGGGCGUAAAGGGCGCGUAGGCGGCCUGAUAAGUAGGGGGUGAAAUCCUGCGGCUUAACCGCAGGGCUGCCUUCUAAACUGUCAGGCUCGAGCACAGUAGAGGCAGGUGGAAUUCCCGGUGUAGCGGUGGAAUGCGUAGAGAUCGGGAAGAACAUCAGUGGCGAAGGCGGCCUGCUGGGCUGUUGCUGACGCUGAGGCGCGACAGCGUGGGGAGCAAACAGG